Molecule: long non-coding RNA, 384 nt
Filed under: Citrus sinensis (sweet orange)
Lineage: Eukaryota; Viridiplantae; Streptophyta; Magnoliopsida; Sapindales; Rutaceae
Description: long non-coding RNA (CSIN_LNC002742)
Source: RNAcentral
CCGAAAAAAAACCUGAGGAAAUUUCCAGGGAAACAAAACUAUCAGAAGAGAAGCUAGGUCCACCUAGACUUUUCGAUAUUCCUCCAUUGCCCCCAAUCCCUUUUCUGCCCCCGAUAUCAAUCCUUCCUCCGAACCCGCUCCAGCCGCCUUCUCCGGUUUUGCCUCCGAACCCCUUACAGCCGCCGCCGCUCUUUCCACCGAACCCCUUACAGCCGCCGCCAUCUCCAUUGAUUCCUUUGCCACCAGUUCCAGGACUAACUCCACCGCCGCCGCUCUUUCCACCGAACCCCUUACAGCCGCCGCCGCUCUUUCCACCAAACCCUCUGCUGCCACCGCCAUCUCCAUUGAUUCCUUUGCCACCAGUUCCAGGACUAACUCCACCGC